UGACGUCAUUUAUGGACGCCCCUAAAUCAGCUGUGCAGCUAACUCUGCUCUUUCCCGAACGAGUUUGAAUCCUGCUUUUAGAUUCAAUUCAGGGAAUCGGGGAACUAGAUUCCACACGGUAACGAUUCUUAAAGCAAUCGAUUCACGAAUUUUGGCGGGAAGCGGCAAUGGCGGCCCCCAUGGAGGAGGAGGGGAACGAGACGCGGGAGCCCCGCGAUCUACUCCCCGCGUCCUCCUCGGUCUCCGAGUCCCUGGAGAAGCUCACGGUCGUGACGAGAGCCAUCACCAGGAACGUGUCCAUCGUGAACGACGCCCUGGAGAAAAUUCUGAUGGACAAACCAUUGGCUGACGAGCUAAAGAAGUACUUGACAGACUUUUCUGCUGAAUAAUCCUACAUGGAGAAGACUCAACUCUCAAUCGUUGCCAGUCUACUGCCAAAUUACUCGUCACAAUUACUUUACAUUUACGAGCCGCGUGUGAAAAAUGCAUUUCGUGCGGUCAUGUUUUUCGAAUAACAAACCUUGCCAAUGUAUACAGAAGAUAGUGACUUUCAUUUAUUUUCAUUUAAAGAUGUAUAAAAGGUUGCAGACCAUCCGCACCGAAUUCUCAACCCACUCAAGAUUGUCCCAGUGUUUUUUUUUUUCCAGCAAUCCGUCACCAGCCUUGCACAACCAUGUUAAUUUGGUAUUUAGAACAGCCUUAUUAGCCUUGUCAUAGCUGUUAUAGUGUGUUUGACCGAUACAUUCUCAUUAACUGUAGAUUUUGAAAGUGUAAUGCCUUCUAUUAACAAUUUUGAUUUAAAGCUUUCGUGACUGCAGGGAUUCAUAUUUUUGGUUCUUUUGGUAAAGUCACGUAAAAGGGAAACAAUAAAAUAAUAAAAAUAUAAAACAAUAA
Petromyzon marinus (sea lamprey) is the source of this 894-nucleotide long non-coding RNA. RefSeq lists it as uncharacterized. The record is from RefSeq and is a predicted model, not a curated record. NCBI's taxonomy places the organism in Eukaryota, Metazoa, Chordata, Hyperoartia, Petromyzontiformes, Petromyzontidae.